RNAcentral lists this ribosomal RNA (742 nucleotides) under uncultured bacterium. RNAcentral's name for it is "bacterial SSU rRNA". It matches the Rfam family "Bacterial small subunit ribosomal RNA", at positions 94 to 823 of the family's 1533-position model. The record is from RNAcentral.
AGCGGCGGACGGGUGAGUAACACGUGGGUAACCUGCCCAAGAGACUGGGAUAACACCUGGAAACAGAUGCUAAUACCGGAUAACAACACUAGACGCAUGUCUAGAGUUUGAAAGAUGGUUCUGCUAUCACUCUUGGAUGGACCUGCGGUGCAUUAGCUAGUUGGUAAGGUAACGGCUUACCAAGGCAAUGAUGCAUAGCCGAGUUGAGAGACUGAUCGGCCACAUUGGGACUGAGACACGGCCCAAACUCCUACAGGAGGCAGCUGUAGGGAAUCUUCCACAAUGGACGAAAGUCUGAUGGAGCAACGCCGCGUGAGUGAAGAAGGGUUUCGGCUCGUAAAGCUCUGUUGGUAGUGAAGAAAGAUAGAGGUAGUAACUGGCCUUUAUUUGACGGUAAUUACUUAGAAAGUCACGGCUAACUACGUGCCAGCAGCCGCGGUAAUACGUAGGUGGCAAGCGUUGUCCGGAUUUAUUGGGCGUAAAGCGAGUGCAGGCAGUUCAAUAAGUCUGAUGUGAAAGCCUUCGGCACAACCGGAGAAUUGCAUCAGAAACUGUUGAACUUGAGUGCAGAAGAGGAGAGUGGAACUCCAUGUGUAGCGGUGGAAUGCGUAGAUAUAUGGAAGAACACCAGUGGCGAAGGCGGCUCUCUGGUCUGCAACUGACGCUGAGGCUCGAAAGCAUGGGUGGCGAACAGGAUUAGAUACCCUGGUAGUCCAUGCCGUAAACGAUGAGUGCUAAGUGU